CAGCAGCCGCGGUAAUACAGAGGGUGCAAGCGUUGAUCGGAAUUACUGGGCGUAAAGCGCGCGUAGGUGGUUUGUUAAGUUGGAUGUGAAAUCCCCGGGCUCAACCUGGGAACUGCAUCCAAAACUGGCAGGCUAGAGUAGGGCAGAGGGUGGUGGAAUUUCCUGUGUAGCGGUGAAAUGCGUAGAUAUAGGAAGGAACACCAGUGGCGAAGGCGACCACCUGGGCUCAUACUGACACUGAGGUGCGAAAGCGUGGGGAGCAAACAGGAUUAGAUACCCCAGUAGUCCCUGUCUCUUAUAC
RNAcentral lists this ribosomal RNA (301 nucleotides) under uncultured bacterium. RNAcentral's name for it is "partial 16S ribosomal RNA". It matches the Rfam family "Bacterial small subunit ribosomal RNA", at positions 509 to 807 of the family's 1533-position model. The record is from RNAcentral.